Molecule: unclassified non-coding RNA, 301 nt
Organism: Callithrix jacchus (white-tufted-ear marmoset)
Lineage: Eukaryota; Metazoa; Chordata; Mammalia; Primates; Cebidae
Rfam family: Metazoan signal recognition particle RNA
About the family: The signal recognition particle (SRP) is a universally conserved ribonucleoprotein. It is involved in the co-translational targeting of proteins to membranes.
Source: Ensembl
GCUAGGCACGGUGGCAUAUACCUGUAGUCCCACUUACUCGGGAGGCUGAGGUGGGAGGAUCGCUUGAGCCCAGGAGUUCUGGGCUAUAGAGUGCUAUGCCGAUCGGGUGUCUGCACUAAGUUCGGCAUCAAUAUGGUGAUCUCCCGGGAGCAGGGGAGCACCAGGUUGCCUAAAGAGGGGGUGAACCGGCCCAGGUCAGAAAUGGAGCAGAUCAAAACUCCCAUGCUGAUCAGUAAUGGGAUUAUGCCUGUGAAUAGCCACUGAACACCAGCCUGGGCAACAUAGCGAGACCCUGUCUCUA